AAUCAACGCUGGCGGCGUGCCUCAGACAUGCAAGUCGAACGAUUAAACUUUCCUUCGGGAAAGAUAUAAAGUGGCGCACGGGUGAGUAACACGUAAGUAAUCUACCUUCGAGUGGGGAAUAACGUUCGGAAACGGACGCUAAUACCGCAUAAUGCAGCGGCAUCGCAAGAUGACAGUUGUUAAAGAUUUAUCGCUUGAAGAGGAGCUUGCGGCAGAUUAGCUAGUUGGUAAGGUAAUGGCUUACCAAGGCUACGAUCUGUAUCCGGUCUAAGAGGACGGUCGGACACACUGACACUGAAUAACGGGUCAGACUCCUACGGGAGGCAGCAGUCGGGAAUUUUUGGGCAAUGGGCGAAAGCCUGACCCAGCAACGCCGCGUGAAGGGAUGAAGUAUUUCGGUAUGUAAACUUCGUAAAAAUAGG
RNAcentral lists this ribosomal RNA (422 nucleotides) under uncultured bacterium. RNAcentral describes it as "bacterial SSU rRNA". It matches the Rfam family "Bacterial small subunit ribosomal RNA", at positions 32 to 444 of the family's 1533-position model. The record is from RNAcentral.